RNAcentral lists this ribosomal RNA (394 nucleotides) under uncultured bacterium. RNAcentral's name for it is "bacterial SSU rRNA". It matches the Rfam family "Bacterial small subunit ribosomal RNA", at positions 775 to 1174 of the family's 1533-position model. The record is from RNAcentral.
GGAUUAGAUACCCGGGUAGUCCACGCCGUAAACGAUGGAUACUAGCUGUUUGGCAGCAAUGCUGAGUGGCUAAGCGAAAGUGAUAAGUAUCCCACCUGGGGAGUACGGGCGCAAGCCUGAAACUCAAAGGAAUUGACGGGGGCCCGCACAAGCGGUGGAGCAUGUGGUUUAAUUCGAUGAUACGCGAGGAACCUUACCAGGGCUUAAAUGUAGUGGGACAGGCUUGGAAACAGGCCCUUCUUCGGACUCAUUACAAGGUGCUGCAUGGUUGUCGUCAGCUCGUGCCGUGAGGUGUCAGGUUAAGUCCUAUAACGAGCGCAACCCCUGUCGUUAGUUGCCAGCGAGUCAUGUCGGGAACUCUAACGAGACUGCCGGUGCAAACCGUGAGGAAGGU